Molecule: ribosomal RNA, 497 nt
Filed under: uncultured bacterium
Lineage: Bacteria
Description: partial 16S ribosomal RNA
Rfam family: Bacterial small subunit ribosomal RNA
Source: RNAcentral
GACGAACGCUGGCGGCGUGCCUAAUACAUGCAAGUAGAACGCUGAAGAGAGGAGCUUGCUCUUCUUGGAUGAGUUGCGAACGGGUGAGUAACGCGUAGGUAACCUGCCUUGUAGCGGGGGAUAACUAUUGGAAACGAUAGCUAAUACCGCAUAACAAUGGAUGACACAUGUCAUUUAUUUGAAAGGGGCAAUUGCUCCACUACAAGAUGGACCUGCGUUGUAUUAGCUAGUAGGUGAGGUAACGGCUCACCCAGGCGACGAUACAUAGCCGACCUGAGAGGGUGAUCGGCCACACUGGGACUGAGACACGGCCCAGACUCCUACGGGAGGCAGCAGUAGGGAAUCUUCGGCAAUGGGGGCAACCCUGACCGAGCAACGCCGCGUGAGUGAAGAAGGUUUUCGGAUCGUAAAGCUCUGUUGUAAGUCAAGAACGAGUGUGAGAGUGGAAAGUUCACACUGUGACGGUAGCUUACCAGAAAGGGACGGCUAACUACGUG